RNAcentral lists this ribosomal RNA (265 nucleotides) under uncultured bacterium. RNAcentral's name for it is "partial 16S ribosomal RNA". It matches the Rfam family "Bacterial small subunit ribosomal RNA", at positions 338 to 600 of the family's 1533-position model. The record is from RNAcentral.
CCUACGGGGGGCAGCAGUGAGGAAUAUUGGUCAAUGGGCGGAAGCCUGAACCAGCCAAGUAGCGUGCAGGAUGACGGCCCUACGGGUUGUAAACUGCUUUUAUACGGGAAUAACGCGCCUUACGUGUAGGGCUUUGCAUGUACCGUAUGAAUAAGGACCGGCUAAUUCCGUGCCAGCAGCCGCGGUAAUACGGAAGGUCCGGGCGUUAUCCGGAUUUAUUGGGUUUAAAGGGAGCGUAGACGGUUGUAUAAGUCUGGAGUGAAAG